CCUGCAAACAAUUUCGUAAGAAACAAGAGAGAAUUAUGCUCCAGAAAGAAAAGUCAAGAUAUGAGUUGUUUAAAAACAAUGCUGGGUGCUUCAUGUUUGCUGUUUUAAUUAUGCAUACAGGGAGAAUUUUCAACCACUUAUUUGCCCGCAUUAUUAAAUAUUAAUCAUUGAAAACAUUAGUCUUGACAACUCACUGUAUAGCUUAAUCCACAAGUAUUCAUCAAACUAAUCCAGAAACUAAUCCUCAGUCAGCCUAUAAAUGCUAAGUGUUAAAGCACAAAAGGGUUAAAACAGGCAUUCACUGGGAACAUUCAUUUUGGUAGACAGUUUUACUUUUAUGAUUUAAAUGAGUGGCAAUUCUCGAGAGAAACUGGACUCCCACUGAGAGGUCUUGCAAGGUCAGGUCUACGUUGUAGUUUCAAAUAACUAGUCGCCACUGGCAACCAACUAAACAUAUAAUUUUGCAUCUAUUUGAACAACUUAUCGACCGGUGUCGCUUUCAGUCUUUCACAGUUCGGAUCGUCGUAAUAAUAUUGUGGACUUUUUGUUGUGACAGUUAAUUUUUUGUUCCAGCAAACUCUAAAGUGGAAUUGUAUAUUCAUUUGACCUGAUUCUAAACAUCUCUUAUCAUCUACGACUUCCCAAAUACAGCUGGACAUUCAUUGUCUUCAUACAAUCGUAUAAACGACCACCAGUAUGUGUGCUGCUCUCCGGUUUCUCCCCCAAGAAGCCUAAGGAAAUCACCCACUCUAAAGAUCCACUAUUAUCCAAAUCAAAAUGCCCUCUCUGUACUUCAGUCACCCCCAACUCUCGGAGAAACUGUUACGCAGUCGAUAUCAGACGACGUAUCUGAAAAAAUUCUGCAGAGAUUCAAAACCUGUACUCCACGGCCAUCGUCAACUUCCAGAGCAUGUUUGGCUCGAACAGAGGCCUGUGGGAUCCCCUACAUUCUGUGUAGAUGAGGUACCCGAGGCCACAUACCUCAGACCACCGUACGCAUCAAGAUUGACUUACUAUGAUGAACUAAAUAAACGGUCAAGACUUCCAGAAGACAGCGAGGCUCGACGCAAAUGCAGAACAACCCAGCCAACACACUACCCUGAAAAGAACAAGUUCCAUAGCUCUAGACCAUCCAGUGAAGGAGGUCAGAGCUUUUUACCAGCAUCAAUGAACGCUCAAGAAACCAUCAACAAAAUGACUUUACAAAAAUAUCGCGAAACAAGUUACGAGAACAUGAUUGGUCCGCGAGUGUUUUUCCGUCCGACUGUCCCGCCACAUCGUCAUGAUUACGUCAUACAUCCUGCAUUUCAUUCCGAAGUCAGGAAACUCCCGCGCGACGUUCCGGUGAGGAAACAUCCAGUGAUGAAUAGAUCAGCAAGAAGAUAAA
Long non-coding RNA from Dendronephthya gigantea, 1387 nucleotides. RefSeq lists it as uncharacterized. NCBI's taxonomy places the organism in Eukaryota, Metazoa, Cnidaria, Anthozoa, Malacalcyonacea, Nephtheidae. The record is from RefSeq and is a predicted model, not a curated record. The transcript is spliced from 2 exons.